GACGAACGCUGGCGGCGUGCUUAACACAUGCAAGUCGAACGGAAAGGCCCUGCUUUUGUGGGGUGCUUGAGUGGCGAACGGGUGAGUAACACGCGAGUAACCUGCCCUUGUCUUUGUGAUAACUUUAGGAAACUGGGGCUAAUACCGGAUAGGAUCUCCUGCUGCACGGUGGGGGUUGGAAAGUUUCGGCGGUGGGGGAUGGACUCGCGGCUUAUCAGCUUGUUUGUGUGGUAGGUGCUGACCAAGGCUUUGACGGGUAGGCGGCCUGGGAGGGUAGACGGCGACAUGAGGACUACGAUAGGCAGCAGACUCGUACGGGACGCAAUAGGCGGAAACAUUACGCAAUGAGCCGACGCCUGAUACGGAGACCCCGCGUGCGGAAUACCCUGCUUCGAGUUGUGAACCGCUUUCGCAUGUGACGAAGCGUGAGUGACGGUAAUGGAUAAGAAAGCAACGGCUAACUACGUG
This 468-nucleotide ribosomal RNA is filed under the name uncultured bacterium. Its description in RNAcentral is "partial 16S ribosomal RNA". It matches the Rfam family "Bacterial small subunit ribosomal RNA", at positions 28 to 507 of the family's 1533-position model. The record is from RNAcentral.